AAGGAAUUGACGGAAGGGCACCACCCAGGAGUGGAGCCUGUGGCUUAAUUUGACUCAUCACGGGAAAUCUCCACCAGGCCCGGACACGAGAAGGGAUGACAGAUUGAUAGCUCUUUCUUGAUUUCGUGGGUGGUGGUGCAUGGCCGCUCUUAGUUGGUGGAGUGAUUUGUCUGGUUAAUUCCGAUAACGAACGAGACUCUGUCCUGCUAACUAGUGUCCGCUUCUUUUCUGAGCGGAUUAUUCUUCUUAGAGGGACUGGUAGCUCUUAGCUACACGAGAUUGAGCAAUAACAGGUCUGUGAUGCCCUUAGAUGUUCUGGGCCGCACACGCGCUACACUGAAUGGAUCAGCUAGUUACUCCCUCUCCGAGAGGAGCGGGUAAACUGUUGAACCCCAUUCGUGGUAGGGAUCGGAGCUUGCAAUUGUUCUCCGUGAACCAGGAAUUCCCAGUAGGCGCAAGUCAUAAGCUUGCGUCGAUUACGUCCCUGCCCUUUGUACACACCGCCCGUCGCUACUACCGAUUGAGCGUUUUAGUGAGGUCCUCGGACUGCUUGCCUGGCGGUUUACGCUGCCUCGCUGGUGGAAAGACGACCAAACUGUAGCGCUUAGAGGAAGUAAAAGUCGUAACAAGGUAA
RNAcentral lists this ribosomal RNA (634 nucleotides) under uncultured bacterium. Its description in RNAcentral is "SSU rRNA". It matches the Rfam family "Eukaryotic small subunit ribosomal RNA", at positions 1147 to 1802 of the family's 1831-position model. The record is from RNAcentral.